AUUAUUCCCACAUCCCCCUUUAAAAAUGUCUGAACCCCCUCAUUUAACCUAGUACGUUGUACUACUUCUUUCUUUCAUCUCCCUCAUCAAACCCUAACGUCGCCUUUCGAAUCUCUGUCAUGUUUGCCAGCGGCGCCACCUCCACUCAACCUCAAAUAAACACCACACAACCCUCACUCACCCCUGACUCCCAAGCCAUCACCAUAUUCCUUCAAAUCAACACCAAACGAAGCCAAUCUUAGAUCUGAAAAAGGCAGAAAAGAAAACAAAAACUCUUUCGAAUUUUUCUCAAUUUUGACAAGAGAUUAGGAGUCAAAGCUGGCCUCGCUCGCCUGUUCUUGACAAGAAUACAUGAUUGAGGCCAAUUUCGGCUCAAAAUCAAUACAUCUGCGUGCUUUCAAUCCAUGCUCGUUUGCAGUUUCCUUUAUGUACUCUCUUUUUUCUAUUUUUCCUGUUCUUUUAUUCUUCUUCUCAUCUUUAUCUCUUUUUGUCUCCUAUUUUCUAUUUUCUUUAUUAUGUUUUCGUUUUUAAGCAGUGUUGUUGCAUGAUUAGACUAAUAGCAAGUUUAGUUAUUUUUGUUUUGGUUCUUAUUAGUUCCUUUCCCCUUUUUGUUUUGGUUUCAUUCCAAGGGUUUCGGAUUUUUCUUUAGGGAAACUCUGCUUAGCCCAUUAAUUUUGUGAGCUUGGAUUUCAAUUGGAAUGUGGGUUCUAUCAACAGAGGCCCAAAGAGGAAAUUAGGUUGUUUGCAAACCCGAUAUGCAGUUGUUGGUUGGGCCAAUUUGACCCAUCUGGUUCCAAGGGUAAAUAACGGGGAUUUUAAGGGUAGUCUAGGAAUUUUAGUUUAGGGAAUCUCUCAUAAUUCACUGAGGAAACUUCCUAAUAAGUGGGUUUGGGACUUUUAAAAAACAUAUUUUAAAUUCAGGGAUUCACUAGCAAAAAUGAGAACUAAAAAAGGAGUAAACGGCAAAAACUGAAAUCAUUUAUGGUACCCUAGAGCUCCUCUAUAAAAGGAAUUUCCUUCCUAACCAAGUGAGAUUUUUUGGAAAAUAAAAAACACUAAAAAGCUUAGAAAAUGGUUGAGUCUAUUUCAAACUCCAAAAAUACUAAAGAUUCUUGAACAAUUUGCUUGGUUUCUGGUUCUUUGAUUCCCUUUGGUUAGUUAGAGUUUCUAAAAGUUCCAAAUUGUGCACCUGGGUCGAAAAUGGUUUGAGUUGGUUUAAAAGUUUGGUUUGAGUUGGUUUAAAAGUUUGGUUUGAGUUGUUGUUCGGCACUAUUCCAUUACUGUUGAUUUACUAUUGUUGCUUCCUUCUAAUCUCAUGCUUUUAUUCUGGUUUAUUUUGUUGUAUUCAGGUACAUGUUUCUGGAUCCUACUUAAUGUGAGGCUCGAUUUGAAGUAUGAAAUUGAAAUAUGGAGCUUUAAGCAUAGCAUCGACUCACUUGCUCAUAAUUUAGUUUUAUUUUCUGCAUUACGUUGUUCUGAAUUGUCUGAUGCAUUGUAUUUUGUCCAGGCUACUGACUGUACUCUCUUAGGGGCUGUAUUUGGUCUUUACUUAAUGUGUAAUUCAAGUUUCUAUCAAGUAUCUUAUAGCUAGAUGUUGGUUUUGACAACUGAACUUUUAUCAUUAUGUUUGAUCUUGGACUAUUAUGAUAGAAACUUGAUGAACAAUAUGCUCAGUAAGAUCAGUAGCUAAUUCUAAACUCAAUCAUGUUGAGAUGGUGUAAGUUUGACUGAAUUUGAACUCUCUCUUCCAUGUAAUUAAUUUGGAUUGUUGUAGCGUUGUUUUUUGUAGACAAGUAGUAUCUUAUCUCAGAAGUUGUUGACUGAAUUGUUUCACAACUAGUAGUCAAUCUACAAUGAGUUUUCUUAUAGUUUUGGUGUGCCUAAUAUAUAAUGUACUUGGAAGUAAAUAUUUGGGUUUGUUUCUUUUCAAAGUUUGGUGCUGGAUGAAACUGCAACUUUAAUAUUGUAAGUACGUGGGUAGAAGUGAAUGGCACAAUGUCUGAUCUUUGAAUGAAUCUCAGAGGGUGG
Molecule: long non-coding RNA, 2028 nt
Filed under: Nicotiana benthamiana
Lineage: Eukaryota; Viridiplantae; Streptophyta; Magnoliopsida; Solanales; Solanaceae
Description: long non-coding RNA (NBEN_LNC027276)
Source: RNAcentral